UCAAUGCUCAGGAGAAGAAAUCAAAAGAUCUGAUUGGAAAAAACCAAGGUUCAAAAUUGAUGAGUUCGGAUUCGACUACGCAUCGGAUGCGACUUCGCUUCGGACUAGUCGGUCCCAGCUAGUGCCCAAGUCGGUUUCGAUUUCCAAGCGAUUCCCACACGGACUCCGCAACGCAACCAAAGUUUACCAAGGCUUUCUCACUCAAACCCAACUUGAACUCGGGCACGAUGAAGACGUCGACUUCGAC
RNAcentral lists this long non-coding RNA (247 nucleotides) under Setaria italica (foxtail millet). RNAcentral's name for it is "long non-coding RNA (SITA_LNC005038)". The record is from RNAcentral. Lineage: Eukaryota; Viridiplantae; Streptophyta; Magnoliopsida; Poales; Poaceae.